GCCGUCCGAGUUGUAAUCUAGAGAAGCGUCUUCCGCGCUGGACCGUGUAUAAGUUUCCUGGAAUGGAACGUCGUAGAGGGUGAGAAUCCCGUCUUUGACACGGACUGCCAGGGCUAUGUGAUGCGCUCUCGACGAGUCGAGUUGUUUGGGAAUGCAGCUCAAAUAGGGUGGUAAAUUCCAUCUAAAGCUAAAUACAGGCGAGAGACCGAUAGCGAACAAGUACCGUGAGGGAAAGAUGAAAAGAACUUUGGAAAGAGAGUUAAACAGUACGUGAAAUUGCUGAAAGGGAAACGCUUGAUGUCAGUCGCGUUCGCCGGGGAUCAGCCUUGCUCUUUUGCUCGGCGUACUUCCUGGUGGACGGGUCAGCAUCAGUUUUGUUCGUCGGAAAAUGGCUGGAGAAAUGUGGCACUCUUCGGAGUGUGUUAUAGACUCUGGUCGAAUACGACGUCCGGGACUGAGGAACUCAGCACGACCUUCGGGUUCGGGGCUUCGGCUCACGUUAACGUGCUUAGGAUGCUGGCAUAAUGGCCUUAAGCGACCCGUCUUGAAACACGGACCAAGGAGUCUAACUCGCAUGCGAGUGUUUGGGCGAUUAAAACCCGAGCGCGUAAUGAAAGUGAAAGUCGAGACCUCUGUCGUGGAGGGCAUCGACGCCCGGACCUGAGCUUCUGCGAAGGAUCUGCGGUAGAGCAUGCGUGUUGGGACCCGAAAGAUGGUGAACUAUGCCUGAAUAGGGUGAAGCCAGAGGAAACUCUGGU
RNAcentral lists this ribosomal RNA (758 nucleotides) under Suillus acidus. RNAcentral's name for it is "eukaryotic LSU rRNA". It matches the Rfam family "Eukaryotic large subunit ribosomal RNA", at positions 133 to 868 of the family's 3401-position model. Lineage: Eukaryota; Fungi; Basidiomycota; Agaricomycetes; Boletales; Suillaceae. The record is from RNAcentral.